This 601-nucleotide long non-coding RNA is filed under the name Gossypium barbadense (sea-island cotton). Its description in RNAcentral is "long non-coding RNA (GBAR_LNC000954)". Lineage: Eukaryota; Viridiplantae; Streptophyta; Magnoliopsida; Malvales; Malvaceae. The record is from RNAcentral.
AAAAUUUUCUCCUCCUCUCAUUUUCCUCUGCAGAGAGACCCCCCACGCCGGUGAAGACUCCGGCCAGUCAAAACCGUCGGCCACAACGCACGGUGGCCAGAAAUUAGAAAAGGUAAAUUUUUUUAAUUUUUUUAUUAUGUUUAUAUAUAAAUAUGUAUAUACUAUUUUUUUGAAAAAAAAAGGAAAAAAUAUAUGUAUGUAUAGUCGAAUACCGAAAAUAAAAAAAGAAAAGAGAUGAGACCUUGGCCUUUGGAAUCUGUUUUUUUUUUCUCUUCAAUGCUUGCUGAAUUUUCUUUGUUCUUUUGAGACUAUUAUGUGCUAAAAAUGAGAUUUAUUGUUUUAUUGCUUCCUCCAAAAAAUCUAACCCCUCUACAUGAUUUUUUAAUGGUCUUUUUAUAGCCAUCCUUUUACAACUUGUUUUUUUUUAAAAUCUUUCUAUCACUUCUGUUGCAGGUGGAUGAGGUCAACGGUGGCAGAGUUGGUGGUGGCAGGUGGAGCAGGUGGCUGACAAGGAUAGGGCGGCGGCAUGGCAGAGGCAGUGGCUAGGGUUUUCUUAUUUGUUUUGUGUAUUAAGGUUUUGGGCUGGCUUAGUGGGCUUAGG